Molecule: ribosomal RNA, 532 nt
Filed under: Sciaridae sp. BAH_28365_H01
Lineage: Eukaryota; Metazoa; Arthropoda; Insecta; Diptera; Sciaridae
Description: partial 16S ribosomal RNA
Source: RNAcentral
GUCUUUAUGAAUAAAUAUUCCAUCAAAUUUAUAUAAAGUCUAACCUGCCCAAUGAAAAAUUUUAAAAGGCUGCGGUAUUUUGACCGUACAAAGGUAGCAUAAUCAUUAGUUUAUUAAUUGUAAACUGGAAUGAAUGGUUGAAUGAGAAAUUGACUUUUUUAAUUAAAAUUAUUGAAUUUUAUUUUUUAGUAAAAAAGCUAAAAUGAUUUUAAAAGACGAGAAGACCCUAUAGAGCUUUAUAGUUAAAUAUUUAUAAUUAAAUUAGUUAACUUAUUUUUACUAUUAAAUAUUUAAUUAUUUUAUUGGGGUGAUAAUAAAAUUUAUAAAACUUUUAUUAAUACUUUUUCACUAAUAUGUGGUUACUUGAUCCAGUAUUAUUGAUUAAAAAAUUAAGUUACCUUAGGGAUAACAGCGUAAUUAUUUUUAAAGUUCUUAUUAAAAAAAUUUUUUGCGACCUCGAUGUUGGAUUAAGAUAAAUUUUAGGUGCAGCAGCUUAAAUUUUAAGUCUGUUCGACUUUUAAAUUCUUACGUG